RNAcentral lists this ribosomal RNA (440 nucleotides) under uncultured bacterium. RNAcentral describes it as "partial 16S ribosomal RNA". It matches the Rfam family "Bacterial small subunit ribosomal RNA", at positions 338 to 795 of the family's 1533-position model. The record is from RNAcentral.
CCUACGGGAGGCAGCAGUGGGGAAUAUUGCACAAUGGGGGAAACCCUGAUGCAGCGACGCCGCGUGAGUGAAGAAGUAUUUCGGUAUGUAAAGCUCUAUCAGCCGGGAAGAAAAUGACGGUACCUGACUAAGAAGCCCCGGCUAACUACGUGCCAGCAGCCGCGGUAAUACGUAGGGGGCAAGCGUUAUCCAGAUUUACUGGGGGUAAAGGGAGCGUAGACGGCAGCGCAAGUCUGGAGUGAAAUGCCGGGGCUUAACCCCGGAACUGCUUUGGAAACUGUGCAGCUAGAGUGCAGGAGAGGUAAGUGGAAUUCCUAGUGUAGCGGUGAAAUGCGUAGAUAUUAGGAGGAACACCAGUGGCGAAGGCGGCUUACUGGACUGUAACUGACGUUGAGGCACGAAAGCGUGGGGAGCAAACAGGAUUAGAUACCCGAGUAGUC